This 452-nucleotide ribosomal RNA is filed under the name [Eubacterium] infirmum. Its description in RNAcentral is "bacterial SSU rRNA". It matches the Rfam family "Bacterial small subunit ribosomal RNA", at positions 28 to 480 of the family's 1533-position model. Lineage: Bacteria; Bacillati; Bacillota; Clostridia; Peptostreptococcales; Anaerovoracaceae. The record is from RNAcentral.
GAUGAACGCGGCGGCGUGCCUAACACAUGCAAGUCGAGCGAGAAGUAAAGAAAUGAAGCUUCGGUAGAUUUUCAUUAUGGAAAGCGGCGGACGGGUGAGUAACGCGUAGGCAACCUGCCCUGUACAGGGGGAUAGCCACCCGAAAAGGUGAUUAAUACCCCAUGAUGCAAGAGAUACACAUGUAUCACUUGUCAAAGAUUUAUCGGUAUGGGAUGGGCCUGCGUCUGAUUAGCUAGUUGGUAGGGUAACGGCUUACCAAGGCAACGAUCAGUAGCCGACCUGAGAGGGUGAUCGGCCACAUUGGAACUGAGACACGGUCCAAACUCCUACGGGAGGCAGCAGUGGGGAAUAUUGCACAAUGGGGGAAACCCUGAUGCAGCAACGCCGCGUGAAGGAAGAAGGCCUUCGGGUUGUAAACUUCUGUCCUAGGGGAAGAAACAAAUGACAUACCC